This is a long non-coding RNA of Diprion similis, 591 nucleotides long. RefSeq lists it as uncharacterized. The transcript has 2 exons. The record is from RefSeq and is a predicted model, not a curated record. Lineage: Eukaryota; Metazoa; Arthropoda; Insecta; Hymenoptera; Diprionidae.
AAAUUGUGAAUUGAUUGUAGAUACUUACUCAUCAAAAAUUGCAAACGUGGUAGAUACAGGAAGUGUCUUGAGAGGAAAUGGUUUUCUGUCAGAUGUGUCUACAAUUAUGGCCGCUGUUUCAGGAUUAUACUGGACAUCUGAAGCAACUUGAGCCUGAUCGCUGGGUGGUCCAGGGCGAAAUUUUGGAGAACACAGUGGUGAGAGUUCAACAUUUGGUAUUAAAUAUCCACAAUUUGGAGUAUCGGCUUUUGGAGCUGCCAAUUCCUAUAGUGAAAAGUAACAGCUUGGAUCAUGUAUAUAAUUAAAUUAUCAAGAAUGCUUACAGCUUUGAUCCCACAGACAACAGUUGUACUGCCGAUCUUGAAUAUGGCUGAACUAUCUGCCUGAGUAAUAGCUCCUAUGUUGACGCUUGCAGGCCUGAAUCGAAGAAAUUCACGGCCAUCGGGUCUUAUGUCUUGUGCCUGUGAUGAACAGUUUGAAAGUUAUUAAUGAAAGCUUCAGUAUUGAGAUUUAGAAUAAAUUUAUUAGCAGCACGAGCAAGUGAAAUAUACUCCAAUGGCUUGAUAAAUAGAAGUAGUCAUUUUUCCCUCA